This 211-nucleotide unclassified non-coding RNA is filed under the name plant metagenome. RNAcentral's name for it is "partial contains small subunit ribosomal RNA, internal transcribed spacer 1, and 5.8S ribosomal RNA". The record is from RNAcentral.
UUUCCGUAGGUGAACCUGCGGAAGGAUCAUUCAUAAUAAAAAGUUUUAUGGCGCUUUUUAAAAAUCCAUAUCCACCUUGUGUGCAAUGUUAGAUCUCGUCAAUCUUGGCGAGAUUUUUAUACAUCAACUCAUUCUUUAACUAAUUUGUCUGAAAAAUAUUAUGAACACUUAAUUCAAAAUACAACUUUCAACAACGGAUCUCUUGGCUCUC